AGCUCACGCAAUAAAGCAAGCGCAGGCAGCGCAUCACGUGCGCAUUUAAGUUGCAAGUUACAACGGCAACGUGCCGCUUCCAAAGAUACACAGAUACCGCACAACCGGCACAAGUACAAAUACACACACACACACACAGCCUAGAGAUACUCACUCACACCGGGACAAAAACAGGACUAGUUAGCUCAUGUCAGUGUAAAUUUUACACACAGGCAAAACCUGAUGCCGCAUACAAAAACCCAAGGCUCUCCGCUCCUCACCUUUUUGCGGUUUAUAUUCAAGCGCGCGUGUGCAAUAAAAAGAUAUACACCCAUUCGGGUGUAUACCCAGCAUAACGGAAGUCGAGGCAAGUUUUUGGCAUCCACGGCGGAUGCAGGACCAGGAGGCGCAAGGCAGGAGGCAGGUGGCUCCACAACGGUUGGUGGCAGUCGGGCAGUGGGAGAACACAUAGCUGGCUGCGCUGCAUAAUCAGGCAAAGGCGACGGCGACAACGACAACAUUUAUCAAAUGAAAUGCACGUGCCAAGCGUUUGCCUGGCCCGCUUCCGUGUGGCAACCCGUUCGGAUGGGAUAAGGUCCUUCGAGGUGCCACAGCUCCGGAACUGGCUUGUGCACGAGGGGCGGCAGAGAAGUUGUGCGAAGCUGCAAUAUAUUCACGGGGUGUUUGUGAAAACUCUCGGGACUUGACAGCAUCACUAAAUCAAAUUAAACACAUGAAUUUGUUUAUGGCAAAGAUCUAAUAAU
Molecule: non-coding RNA, 743 nt
Organism: Drosophila melanogaster (fruit fly)
Lineage: Eukaryota; Metazoa; Arthropoda; Insecta; Diptera; Drosophilidae
Source: Ensembl